This 253-nucleotide ribosomal RNA is filed under the name uncultured bacterium. Its description in RNAcentral is "partial 16S ribosomal RNA". It matches the Rfam family "Bacterial small subunit ribosomal RNA", at positions 524 to 776 of the family's 1533-position model. The record is from RNAcentral.
UACGAAGGGGGCUAGCGUUGCUCGGAAUCACUGGGCGUAAAGGGUGCGUAGGCGGGUCUUUAAGUCAGGGGUGAAAUCCUGGAGCUCAACUCCAGAACUGCCUUUGAUACUGAAGAUCUUGAGUUCGGGAGAGGUGAGUGGAACUGCGAGUGUAGAGGUGAAAUUCGUAGAUAUUGCGUAGAACACCAGUGGCGAAGGCGGCCACCUGGGAAGCGACAGACGCUGAGACGCGAAAGCGUGGGGAUCAAACAGG